UGAUGGUGGCGAGGACAAUCUCUGAGAAGACCCUUGAACCUCUCCACACUUGAUACAAAUUUUCUCCAUUUUUCUGUCUGAUUGAAAUGAUCUCCCUUCUGAGUCG
Lycium barbarum (goji berry) is the source of this 106-nucleotide small nucleolar RNA. The record is from RefSeq and is a predicted model, not a curated record. NCBI's taxonomy places the organism in Eukaryota, Viridiplantae, Streptophyta, Magnoliopsida, Solanales, Solanaceae.